CAAAGUUGAAUAUGCUGACCGUAGACAGUAGGUGCUACAAAUGCUUAAUUUCCUACCGAGGUGUUAUGAUAAAGUCUUGUAUUGAAUUGCUAUGCAAAUUCUAUUACAGUCAUCAUGCCUUCGUAGUUUCUACGGAGGCUUUUUUAAUGCUUCG
Molecule: regulatory RNA element, 154 nt
Organism: Paenibacillus selenitireducens
Lineage: Bacteria; Bacillati; Bacillota; Bacilli; Caryophanales; Paenibacillaceae
Rfam family: Ribosomal protein L10 leader
About the family: This family is a putative r-protein leader autoregulatory structure found in B. subtilis and other low-GC Gram-positive bacteria.
Source: Rfam